Molecule: ribosomal RNA, 464 nt
Filed under: uncultured bacterium
Lineage: Bacteria
Description: partial 16S ribosomal RNA
Rfam family: Bacterial small subunit ribosomal RNA
Source: RNAcentral
CCUACGGGAGGCAGCAGUGGGGAAUAUUGCGCAAUGGGCGAAAGCCUGACGCAGCGACGCCGCGUGAGGGAUGAAGGUCUUCGGAUCGUAAACCUCUGUCAGCAGGGAAGAACGGUCACUGUGCUAAUCAGCAGUGAAUUGACGGUACCUGCAAAGGAAGCACCGGCUAACUCCGUGCCAGCAGCCGCGGUAAUACGGAGGAUCCGAGCGGUAUCCGGUUUUAUUGGGUUUAAAGGGUGCGUAGGCGGUCCGGAAAGUCAGCGGUAAAAGCCCGGGGCUCAACCCCGGCGAGCCGUUGAAACUGUCGGACUAGAGACGGCGUGAGGUACGCGGAAUGCGCGGUGUAGCGGUGAAAUGCAUAGAUAUCGCGCAGAACUCCGAUUGCGAAGGCAGCGUACCGGCGCCGGACUGACGCUGAGGCACGAAAGCGUGGGUAUCGAACAGGAUUAGAUACCCCUGUAGUC